This 453-nucleotide ribosomal RNA is filed under the name uncultured bacterium. RNAcentral's name for it is "bacterial SSU rRNA". It matches the Rfam family "Bacterial small subunit ribosomal RNA", at positions 335 to 801 of the family's 1533-position model. The record is from RNAcentral.
ACUCCUACGGGAGGCAGCAGUGGGGAAUAUUGCACAAUGGGCGCAAGCCUGAUGCAGCGACGCCGCGUGAGGGAUGACGGCCUUCGGGUUGUAAACCUCUUUCGACCCUGACGAAGCGCAAGUGACGGUAGGGGGAGAAGAAGCACCGGCCAACUACGUGCCAGCAGCCGCGGUAAGACGUAGGGUGCGAGCGUUGUCCGGAUUUAUUGGGCGUAAAGAGCUCGUAGGCGGCUCGUCGCGUCGACCGUGAAAACCCGCGGCUUAACUGCGGGCUUGCGGUUGAUACGGGCGGGCUAGAGUUCGGUAGGGGAGACUGGAAUUCCUGGUGUAGCGGUGAAAUGCGCAGAUAUCAGGAGGAACACCGGUGGCGAAGGCGGGUCUCUGGGCCGAUACUGACGCUGAGGAGCGAAAGCGUGGGGAGCGAACAGGAUUAGAUACCCUGGUAGCUACGAG